Long non-coding RNA from Oncorhynchus keta (chum salmon), 2000 nucleotides. RefSeq lists it as uncharacterized. The transcript is spliced from 3 exons. Lineage: Eukaryota; Metazoa; Chordata; Actinopteri; Salmoniformes; Salmonidae. The record is from RefSeq and is a predicted model, not a curated record.
GUAGCUACUAUUCCUUGGAAGAAUCUCAUCGUGAAUCUGAUAAGAUAAUGGAUGGAACAACAAUGGCUGUCUCAAAGUAGUUUUUGACUACAGCAUGUGUUUGGGGGCCAAUUAUACACCUUCUGGCUUUCUGUUCCAAGUCAGGCUUGGCUCAUGGGAUCAGCUGACUGUAGGGACACAGCACACUGCCCUUACGCUAUCAUGACACUGUGACAUGCCUGCUGACACCGUGCUGCUAGUGGAUGGCUGUGAAGAAUGGAGCUGCAAUGGAUAGCUGCUAUUUUACGGACUCCUGACCAAUUAUGCUAUUUUGUAUGUGUUUUUGCGAUGAUCUUAACUUUUUUUGUCCAUAAAGAUUCCGCCAUCAUUUCCUAUGACUGAAAAGAGCUUCUGGACAUCAGAACAGUGAUCAUUAACCUUGAUUUGGAUUAGGAUUUCUACUUCAGAGAGUCUGUGGCACAGGACAUACUGCUCACCCCGGACCAGGCCCUAAUCCCAGAGACUCGGAAAAGGAAGAGAUGGCAUUAGAGAGGCCAACUAUGUCGCUCCAGAGUCCAACGGGGUAAGCUUUACACCACUCCAACCGACGCUUGGCAUUGCGCAUGGUGAUCUUAGGCUGGUUUGCGGCUGCUCGGCCAUGGAAACCCAUAUCAUGAAGCUCCCGGCGAACAGUUCUUGUGCUGACAUUGCUUCCAGAGGCCGUUUGGAACUCGGUAGACCUGAGCCCUAGGACCGUGCCUCAGGACUACAUGGCCUGACGACUCCUGACUGUCCCUGUCCGCAGUCCACCUGGAUGUGCUACUGAUUCAGUUUCUGCUUGUGGCUAUGGAACCCUGACCUGUUCACCAGUCAUGUUAUCUUAGUCCGGUCUUGCUGUGUAGACUCACACACACGGUGGUGGGAAAGGCCUCACUCUCCACUGAAUUUCUCUCAGAGACAGCAGGAUUGCUGUCAGUCAUGGGCCAAGUGGGGCUUCAAACUCAGGGGUGACUCACCCCUGAGUUUGUGGGCUAUACUCUACCUUGUCUCAUGACAGCAGUCCUGCUGUCUGAGAGAAAUUCAGUGGAGAGUGAGGCCCCACUUGGCCCAUGGUAGGGAAAGCAUUACAGCUUGCCCUACCAGCCAUAGGGAUUCUCUCAAUGUAUGUGUGUGUCUGUGAUAUGUCCAUUUAUGAUCUCCACUCUUUCAAUCUUUGAAAGGAUAAUUAAUUACUCUCUCCUUAUGCUUCAAUUUCUCUUCCUCUGUGUCCCUACUGUGAUAAUUCCAGUCAGAAUUACUGAUAUACACAGCGUAAUUCAUGUUAUACACAAUGUGAUAACUACACUGAACAAAAAUAUAAACGCAACAUGUAAAGUGUUGGUUCCAUGUUUCAUGAGCUGGAAUAUAAAAUCCCAGAAAUUGUCCAUGAACACAAAAGGUUAUUUUACAUCCCUGUUGCUGAAAAUGUCUCCUUUACCAAGAUAAUUGAUCCCCCUUACAGGUGUGGCAUAUCAAGAAGCUGAUUAAAAAGCAUGAUCAUUACACAGGUGCACCUUGUGCUGGGAACAAUACAAUGCCACUUUAAAAUGUGCGGUUUUGUCACACAACACAAUGUCACAGAUGUCUCAAGUUUUGAGGGAGCAUGCAAUUGGUAUGCUGACUGGAAUGAUGUCCACCAGAGCUGAUGCCAGAGAUUUGAAUGUAAAUGUCUUUACCAUAAACUGCCUCCAACACUGUUUUAGAGACUACAGACCACAUGUAGCCACGCCAGCCCAGGACUUCCACAUCCGGCUUCUUCACCUACGGGAUCAUCUGAGGGGGGAUUGGGGGGUGCUGAGAGGUAUUUCUAUCUGUAAUAAAGCCCUUUUGUGAGGAAAAACUCAUUACGAUUGGCUGGGUCUGGCUCCCAUCGCUGCAUUUCUGCCCAGUCAUGUGAAAUCCAUAGAUUUGGGCCUAAUUUAUUUAUUUCAGAUCUGAUUUCAUUAUAUGAACUGUAGCUGAGUAAAAUCUUUGAAAUUGUU